UACGGAGGGUGCAAGCGUUAUCCGGAAUCACUGGGUUAAGGGUAGCGUAGGCGGCUAUGUAAGUCAGUUGUGAAAUACCCGGCUUAACCGGCGGACGUGCGAUUGAUACUGCGUAGCUUGAAUCAGGUUGAGGUAGGCGGAAUGUGACAUGUAGCGGUGAAAUGCUUAGAUAUGUCAUAGAACACCGAUUGCGAAGGCAGCUUACUGGGCUUGAUUGACGCUGAGGCACGAAAGCGUGGGGAGCAAACAGG
This 251-nucleotide ribosomal RNA is filed under the name uncultured bacterium. RNAcentral describes it as "partial 16S ribosomal RNA". It matches the Rfam family "Bacterial small subunit ribosomal RNA", at positions 524 to 776 of the family's 1533-position model. The record is from RNAcentral.